Molecule: long non-coding RNA, 1339 nt
Filed under: Oreochromis niloticus (Nile tilapia)
Lineage: Eukaryota; Metazoa; Chordata; Actinopteri; Cichliformes; Cichlidae
Description: lncRNA (ENSONIG00000032011.1)
Source: RNAcentral
GUGCCGUUGUCAGGUUUCCAUUAAAUUGUGAGAGCUUUAAGCUUCAAAUUGCCGUGCCGCCAUUUUGGUGCGUGCGUGUGACAUCACUGGUUCUUUGCUCUUUUUUGUUUUCGAGCUCCACCACCCUCAUGCUGCCGCAGCGAACUUCUUCGGCAUUUCAUUUAAAACUACGGUAGAAUUGUUACUGCUAUCACUGAAACUCUGAAGCUCAGGAAGCAUUCGAUAAACUGAAGCAACUGUUUGCCUCUCAUUUGAAUUUAUUGUUGAGAUUGACACUUUCAAAACUUGGUUUAAAUCAUUUAAAUCAUUUGUCAAUGAAUUCAUUUAAUGAAUUAACUGUUCAAAUGAAGUAAUAAUCAACAUUACUAAUAAAUUGUGUUUAUUUAAGAAAAAUAUUAGGCCUUUUUGAGUUUGAUGGUAGAUCCACAUUUCGAAAAAGCUGGGAAAGGACCAAACUGGAUGUAGGAUGUAGAGUGGAACAAAUUUCCUCCCAACUAUUUGCCUGUUCUCGCAAAUGCUUGAUUGCGGUUCUUGUUGCCAACUGUGCACAACCAUCAGCCUUAUUGGGCAAUUACUUUUUCACAUAGUGCCACGUAGGUUUGGAUAACCCUUUUCCCCUAUAAUAAAUUAAAUUAUUAUUUUAAAAAAAAAUGCACUUUUUACUUGGGUUUUCUUUUUUUACAUAUUAGAACGUAUUUAAUGAGCUAAACAUGUAUGUGAAAAAAAAUGUGCAAAAAACUAAGAAAUAAGGAUGGGGCAAAUUAAUUUUGAAAAAGAUUUUAACAGCAGUUUUUUUUUUAGAUGUGCUGCUUCAAAAGGACGGACAUUUUGUCACGAUGGAACAGGGAGGACUCAGGCGCAGACUGAAAUCACAGAAAACUGAAUUUUAUUUACACCCUUCCGGUGCACUAUAUACAGCUACCACAGGUCGAGAGGCAAGGUACAUGCUGGACAGGCUGCAGGGCUAACACAGAGACAGAUAGACAGAGCGAGGGAUUCACACUCACAUUCAUACCACCACGCAUGGGCAAUUUACAAUCAUGUAUUUGGGAGGACAUGAGAAAAAGAACGACAUUUACACCAGGCCUGGUGGGAUGGAAUUCACGACCUUCUUGCUGUGAGGCAACAGUGCUUAGACACUAUGCUGCAUGCUACCUGAAUAUACAGCUAACAAAAUAAAUGACGAAAUUGAGUGAAAUUUUGUAGGCAACAUUUCCUCAUCAUUUAUCAGUAAAUUGGAAAUUCGGUUUGGUUAACUUGCCACUUGCAGUUUUCUUUAUCAGACUUAUGAUGUAAAUGCAUUUAAUUUAUGUUUUCCAUCACGAAAAUAAAGUGUUUU